Drosophila persimilis is the source of this 477-nucleotide long non-coding RNA. RefSeq lists it as uncharacterized. The record is from RefSeq and is a predicted model, not a curated record. The transcript has 2 exons. Lineage: Eukaryota; Metazoa; Arthropoda; Insecta; Diptera; Drosophilidae.
UGAAACCCAAGGAUGACUCCGAUAUUGAUUGGUCCCAGCUGGCCUUGGAUCUGUUGCUGUACGAUGCGGUGGACAGGAACAUCACGGUGAGCCCGGAACUGGCCAAAGAAUUGCUGAACAUGUGCUUUGGUGAUGCCAUGGAUUCGGUCCAUGGGGCGCUGGCGGUGGCAAAAGCCUGCAACCGCAAGUACAUCCUCAAGGCGGAUCUGAGAAUGUUCAACUACAUCUGUAGCCGGGAGAGCGACAGUACGGAUAGCCCUUCCUCGCGAGGCCUGUGACUGUGAGACCUGUUUCAUCGCGACGCCAGUGACUGUCAGACCUUUUGCUUCGCGACGCCAGUGACUGUCAGACCUUUUUCUUCGCAAGGCCAGUGACUGUAAGACCGAGGCCUGUGAUUAUUCAACCUUUUACUGGAUCUACUUUCAAUGGCAAAUGGUUUCAAGGCCCAAAACUGAUUAAAACCAGGAUUUAAAUUCA